This is a ribosomal RNA of Mesocricetus auratus (golden hamster), 117 nucleotides long. The record is from Ensembl. Lineage: Eukaryota; Metazoa; Chordata; Mammalia; Rodentia; Cricetidae.
GUCCAUGGCCAUACCAUGCUGAAUGCGCCCGAUCUCGUCUGAUCUCAGAAGCUAAGCAGGGUCGGGCCUGGUUAGUACUUGGAUGGGACACCAUGGUGGGACAUGGUGGCAUGCAGG